UAGGGGAUCUUCCGCAAUGGGCGAAAGCCUGCCGGAGCAACGCCGCGUGAGUUAUGAAGGUCUUCGGAUCGUAAAACUCUGUUAUUAGGGAAGAACAAAUGUGUAAGUAACUAUGCACGUCUUGACGGUACCUAAUCAGAAAGCCACGGCUAACUACGUGCCAGCAGCCGCGGUAAUACGUAGGUGACAAGCGUUAUCCGGAAUUAUUGGGCGUAAAGCGCGCGUAGGCGGUUUUUUAAGUCUGAUGUGAAAGCCCACGGCUCAACCGUGGAGAGUCAUUGGAAACUGGAAAACUUGAGUGCAGAAGAGGAAAGUGGAAUUCCAUGUGUAGCGGUGAAAUGCGCAGAGAUAUGGAGGAACACCAGUGGCGAAGGCGACUUUCUGGUCUGUAACUGACGCUGAUGUGCGAAAGCGUGGGGAUCAAACAGG
RNAcentral lists this ribosomal RNA (429 nucleotides) under Actinomycetes bacterium. RNAcentral's name for it is "Actinobacteria bacterium partial 16S ribosomal RNA". It matches the Rfam family "Bacterial small subunit ribosomal RNA", at positions 355 to 776 of the family's 1533-position model. Lineage: Bacteria; Bacillati; Actinomycetota; Actinomycetes. The record is from RNAcentral.